GAGAAAUGUCUUAUGAAAAUUAGUGGAACAAUAGAACUUUAAAUAACUAUCGAUGAAUACGUAUUUUUCUAAUAUUUUUUAUUGGUGAAACUCUUAUUGAAAAUAUUUCUUGUUGAAUGAAUAUUAAUGUUUUUAAACGUUACACCUCGUUUAUUUUCUUUCAUGACGUCAAAGUAAAGCAAAAUAUUUGCAGUAUUUUUCAAUAGACGAUGCAGUACAAUGUGCACAAUCGAUAAUCGAUCUCGUUUAAUUAUACGAUCGGUAUAUCGAAGUCAAUGGCCUCGAAACAAAGAACCGACAUAAAAGGAAGAUAACUAUUCGAUUGUUAUCCACCUCGAAAGAUACAAUAGAAAUUACUUUGAUGCUUGUUUUAAUUCUAGUAUAGUUCAUUUCAGAGAAAAAGAGGUAAAGAAUGAUUAAUCUCCAACCAUUUAUAAACUAUAAGAGGUUCAGCAAAGUAACGCAAAAUCCUUCUACAGAGGACAAGGUCUGCUCUCGAUCUUAUGAAUCAUAGCGUUGCUAAAGCGUAUUCAGACCGUUCUUUCACCGUUCGUGCAAAAACGAGCAUUGAAGUUCAGUGAUCUGAAAAAUGAUUUCGACCAACUUCCGUGGAAUUUCGAAAUGACCGAACUAUAAUCAGAAACACAUUUAUGCAUUAUAUCUAUAUAUGCUUUCUAUGCUUAUUUGAUAUUUUAAUCAGACCCCUGUACAAGUGUAAAUGUAACGGUCUAUAAAUAACGGAUGCCAUAUUCUCACCUGAGCUUCUUCAGCCGAUUAUGACGUCGUGUUUGUCGUCCGUGACACAACACGCGUAUAAAAACACGUAAUCUACUUCGUCUGCGUUCAUUUAAUUCUGCUGUCUCCCUGCACUUUCUAAAACCAUAAAAAUGACGUCACCUGUCAUCAUCGUUCUCAAUCCCCUUACUUAAUCCUUCAAAGGGUUAUGAUGUAUUCCUGUUUAAAAAGAUCAGAUGUUUUUAAAUGAAAGUUUAAUGUUUUUAAGACGAUUAAUUUCUUAAUUUGAAUUUUAAAUUAAAUUUUAAUUGCAAGUUUAAGAUCACAGAAUUUUCUUUAAUAUAUUUUGCAUCAUCAUAAUUCGGUUUUAACUUUAUAGGAUUGUUGUUUUUCUGUAGGUAAGUACUCUAGUGUAAUUUGUUCACUUGAAGCGCAUUGGAAUUGUUCCAAGAUAUUUAUCCUUUUCAUAUCUUAAAUUCAAAAUUAGCCUAAAUUACUGUCAUUGAAAUAUAACAAUUAUGUUAAUUAUAUUUCAAAUUAUAUUUUAAUAAUACAACAUUUCCUCGUAAUUUCUAAUUUCUAUCAAAAUAUUCAAUCUGCUUGGGGUUAAAUCUCAUCGAGUUCUAUUCCAUGUAUAUUAAUCCUGAUUAAAUUGAAUAUAUUAGGUAAAUAUAAUAUCUAAAUAUAAAAUUUAUGUCAAUUUUGAUUCAGAGGAAUAUUCUUAAUUUUUAGGUUUGUUUGCUGAACUUUUGGUAUGCUUUGCUGAUGGACGGUCCGUUUCCGCGUUGUUCCUUGGAUUCCCCAGAAUAUAUAGAUCAUGAAGCGUUUCCGGAGAACGGUGGAACUCCGGGAGUGUCGCCUGGCAGUUACGAAAUCAGCUGUGCGCCUGUCGGUGCUUGUUGUAGGUCGCGUUCAGGACUCCCCUCGGCCUCCCUUCUGCUCUGUUCCUCUCAUUCCAUCUAACAAGAGAGUUAGAGGAGAGGGGAUAUUAAAGGUCGCCUCAACGUGGAGAUCAAUACGAAACCUACAUACCUACCUUCCCUAUCGGACCAAUGGGAAUGCCCAAAAUGAUCCUUUUCGUAUCUAUUAAUUAUCUUUUUAUGUUCAAGACAGUCAGUUUGAUAUAAUUGCCCAAUUUGCUUACUUAAACCUAAACAAAUAAUUAUUCUUCUAUAGUCUUAUCAAUUAAAUCCUUUCUCUCAAAUUGGACAAUUUAUUAUAAUUAUAUGUGUCCAAUACACAAUUAUAUGCAGUACUUCAUUAGAUUCUAGAUAUUUCUAAUACAGUAAAUAAUGAUAAAACUUUUGAUUUUCGAUACAGGGAAAUCAUUGAAGAGGUAUUUAUUCAAAUACAUUUAUUUAUUAAGUACUCAACAUGAUAAUCAGACUUUGGGAGAUUUAGCGUGAUAUACAAUCUACACAAACACCUUGUUUUUUUCUGAUAAAGCUAUAGAAAGAAUAUUCCAGGAUUUUUAAUUUUUUUCUUUCAAUUAAUGAACACAUUUUUUCUGGAUUAACUCAUCCUUUUGUUAAAUCCUAUUAGAAGGUUUAAAUAUCUAACAAGGUCAAAUUUAUAAUAGAGUUCAUAGUUUUUAAUUGGGAGUGUGUAAUAUACUCGAAACGGUAACAUUUGUUUUCAUUUUCUAUCUAAAUUUUGAUUGCAGUUAAUACGUAUAUCAAUCAUCCAGUAUGGACUUCUUAAAGAAUGGAAUUGAGCAACAGUUGAUGGUUAUAAUUAGAUAAUACAUAUGUAUGUGUUUUUUUAAAUGAGUUUCACUUCUUCGACUUCACUUUCCACCCAGUUCACGUCGUCAAUGUCAGUUAGUGGUGAACAGCACGGAAACUUAUUACCUGUAAUCGAUAUGGCUGAAAAUCGAUCAGUUUCACGGAACGAUUAUUGUGUUCGGGGAAGAGAUUCAAGGAUUUCCGAAGCAAGUAAGAAAGCAGUUAUAAAGCUAACUUGGCUUUAUAAUAAAAGAUAAUCAAAAUAGAAUUGAAAACAAAUUAAAAAGAAAGAUCAAGAUAUGGAACUAAAAAUUAUCAAAAGGAAAAAAACUGGAAGACUAGUAUAAAUAGAGCAACUUUAAGAUAAUUACUAUUGACCUUAAAUCGCAAACAGUGACCUUGAAAAAGAGCUCCUUGUACCAAAUACUAUUUCUGUAUUCUAGCACAAUCGUCUUAUUGCAUUACACAAGUUAUAACUGAAUUUGAUACUCUGGCUUCGUUCGUCAUAUAUUCAAGGAUAUAAAUAUAAUACACCUACAUGUAUUUGAAAGAACGAGGAAUAUAAGAAGACGUGUAAUUUAUUUUUACGGAAAACCAGAUAUAUCGUAGGCCAAGCAAUGAGAAAAUUGUCAUUUGAAUCGCAUACGUAAGAACGUCGCGCUGCUUUAAAUACAAUACCAUUAUAACGACAUUAAUUUGCCGAUUUAACCGUCUCAAGAGGCAAGCGACUUUAUCGCGUGACUGGCACCGAGUACAGCAAAUAUUUGUCGUCCAGUUUCUUCAGUCAGCGUCACACCUAUCAGAAUGAUGGCCGUUUUUGCGAAGAGCAGCAAACUGAAAACAAAAUUCUCAAGUCCACCACAACAUGAAUAGAAGACCGAUGUUGAGGAGGAAGAUACAAUCUUAUGCUCCAAUUAACUACAGAUUAUCAUCUACACCCUGUUGUUCAACACUGCAAUAAUAUUAUCAUCAAAGACUCAAUUGAAUCGUUUAAAGGAACACCUUACUAAUAAUACCCUGAUGAAAAAUUGCGAGUAAUCAGCUGCAUACGAUUCAUUAUUUUAAGAAGCUGCUAUCUCUUAUGCAAACUGCAAUUAUCUAGCGGUUCAGCAAGGCUUAAAUUUAGCGAGGAAUUUCGCUAAGUCGGCGAGACGUAAAGGCUGGAGGGCCCUGCCGGUGCUGGGACCGAAAUACACGACGAUUAUACCGGCGACUCCUCGAAUUGUUUCUCUGCAUGUGGCUUUUUUCCCCUCACCGUUACAGAUACGCCUCUGCAAAUGUAAAUCUUCGUGGCCGUGGUACAGUCAGGCAUACAAUUCCAUCGUAAAGAUUCUCUGUAGUCUUAACGACAUCUUCCGAGAGCAGUUUUCUGGUUGUGGUUUCCUCUGUGUAUUAUGUUAAAUUAACAGGAUAAUCACGUGUAACGCGGAUACAUAUAUCAUAGAUAAAUAAUUAUAAAUAAUAUAGAGUUGUAGGUGAGAAUUAUAAGCAAAUGAUGGAUAACACUAACUAAGCUAUUUACGUAUGAAUGGAACCAUCCGCAUGUAUAAUCUUCAACAUUUUAUACAUUUUUCAAUUACGUUAACGUUUACGUCAAGAUGCAUAAUGAGUGUUCAACUUCUCAAAAAACAAGUUGCUUUCAUAAAUCCAUUUAUAACAAGAUGAUAUAAAUGAUUAUAAAUAUCAAGGUAAAUUUUGAAAAAUAGCAUUUUCAGCAUCAAAAUUUCUCUGCAUAUUUUAAUUUAUAGAGUUGAUUUGUAUGAAUUUUACAUUGCUAUAUUGAAGAAUCUAGAUUAUCAAGAAGUCCCAUAAACGAUAUAACAGAAGCGAAGGAUGGAACGGACGGUCGCUGUAUUUUAGUAGUAAGCUGGCUGCAAUAGUUUAAGGCUUAAGGCAAGUCAUUUAUGUUGCAAGGGAUCUUACGU
This is a long non-coding RNA of Bombus pyrosoma, 4384 nucleotides long. RefSeq lists it as uncharacterized. The transcript is spliced from 5 exons. The record is from RefSeq and is a predicted model, not a curated record. Lineage: Eukaryota; Metazoa; Arthropoda; Insecta; Hymenoptera; Apidae.